RNAcentral lists this ribosomal RNA (497 nucleotides) under uncultured bacterium. Its description in RNAcentral is "partial 16S ribosomal RNA". It matches the Rfam family "Bacterial small subunit ribosomal RNA", at positions 28 to 507 of the family's 1533-position model. The record is from RNAcentral.
GAUGAACGCUGGCGGCGUGCCUAAUACAUGCAAGUCGAGCGAACAGACGAGGAGCUUGCUCCUUCGACGUUAGCGGCGGACGGGUGAGUAACACGUAGGUAACCUACCUAUAAGACUGGGAUAACUUCGGGAAACCGGAGCUAAUACCGGAUAAUAUUUCGAACCGCAUGGUUCGAUAGUGAAAGAUGGCUUUGCUAUCACUUAUAGAUGGACCUGCGCCGUAUUAGCUAGUUGGUAAGGUAACGGCUUACCAAGGCAACGAUACGUAGCCGACCUGAGAGGGUGAUCGGCCACACUGGAACUGAGACACGGUCCAGACUCCUACGGGAGGCAGCAGUAGGGAAUCUUCCGCAAUGGGCGAAAGCCUGACGGAGCAACGCCGCGUGAGUGAUGAAGGUCUUCGGAGCGUAAAACUCUGUUAUUAGGGAAGAACAAACGUGUAAGUAACUGUGCACGUCUUGACGGUACCUAAUCAGAAAGCCACGGCUAACUACGUG